Molecule: ribosomal RNA, 170 nt
Filed under: uncultured bacterium
Lineage: Bacteria
Description: partial 16S ribosomal RNA
Rfam family: Bacterial small subunit ribosomal RNA
Source: RNAcentral
CGCUAGUAAUCGCGCAUCAGCCACGGCGCGGUGAAUACGUUCCCGGGUCUUGUACACACCGCCCGUCACACCAUGGGAGUCGGAAAUGCCCGAAGUCUGUGACCCAACCUGAGAGGGAGGGAGCAGCCAAGGCGGGUCUGAUGACUGGGGUGAAGUCGUAACAAGGUAGC